AUGAGUUAGGUCAGAGGUUCUGAACUGUGACGAUCGGCUUUUCCACGA
This 48-nucleotide small nucleolar RNA is filed under the name Pyrobaculum aerophilum str. IM2. RNAcentral describes it as "PAEsR103". Lineage: Archaea; Thermoproteati; Thermoproteota; Thermoprotei; Thermoproteales; Thermoproteaceae. The record is from RNAcentral.